This 408-nucleotide ribosomal RNA is filed under the name Clostridioides difficile. RNAcentral's name for it is "partial 23S ribosomal RNA". It matches the Rfam family "Bacterial large subunit ribosomal RNA", at positions 116 to 527 of the family's 2925-position model. The record is from RNAcentral. Lineage: Bacteria; Bacillati; Bacillota; Clostridia; Peptostreptococcales; Peptostreptococcaceae.
GAAUGAGGAAACUCACUUAGAGUAAUGUCUAAGUAUCAUUAAGUGAAUACAUAGCUUAAUGAGGGGAACUCAGGGAACUGAAACAUCUAAGUACCUGAAGGAAGAGAAAGAAAUUCGAUUCCGUAAGUAGCGGCGAGCGAACGCGGAUUAGCCCAAACCAAUAAAGUUUUCUUUAUUGGGGUUGCGGACAUAUCAUAACGAAGAGGUAUCGUAAUUGAAGAGGUUUGGAAAGAUCCACCACAGAAGGUAAUAGUCCUGUAUGUUAAACGAGAAGACUUUAGAUAUGAUCCAGAGUACCACGGGACACGUGAAACCCUGUGGGAAGCAGGAGGGACCACACUCCAAGGCUAAAUACUACCUAGUGACCGAUAGCGUAUAGUACCGUGAGGGAAAGGUGAAAAGAACCCC